Molecule: long non-coding RNA, 1868 nt
Organism: Mesocricetus auratus (golden hamster)
Lineage: Eukaryota; Metazoa; Chordata; Mammalia; Rodentia; Cricetidae
Exons: 2
Source: RefSeq, a predicted model, not a curated record
UCGGCUACUUCUGCCGAUACUCUACCUUACCUUAACGCCCUAUCUUCACAUGCUUAAAUCCAGCUCAUCACCGGAUGCGGUUUUGAGACAACUUCCCCUGGGGCCUUCUUUGAUACUCUGCAAGAAAUAACAUCUCUCUACACUUCAGCCUCCCCUGUUCUACUGCCCCCGACUCCUGGGCAGCACAGGUGCGCAUCGUGCAGUUGAGAUUUAGCUAGGCUUGCCAGAGGCCCGCCAGGAGGACCCGACGGCACGAGCAUGUUGCUGUUCUUGCGGACCACGUGGAGCGGACCUCCCCACUACGACAAAAGGGUCAAUCUCUCCCCCCGAGGCUGGACAAGGACUUGCUUACAUGUCUUCAAGCGUAGGCUCCGGGCUGAAGCUGAACCGGCCGGCAGCAGCAGCGUCUUCUUGCCCCGCAUCAUCAUGCGAACCGCCACCAGCUUGGGACAUCCCGCCCAGCAGUCCCAGCCGCGCGGGAGUGUGCAAACCCCGCGCCACACUCGGAGUCGCCCCAGGAUCCCGGCCAAUCACGGCGUCUAGGUGCGUUCCCGGGGCGGAGCCGGAGGAGGACCCACUCAUAUAUGUGGAUUUUGCUACGGUCCACCCCUUGUCCGGACUGGACCAAUCUGAGGGAGUUUCUAGAGUGUUUUCUCCGCCUGUCCCCUCGAGUUCUUCCUCCCGGGAGAAACUUCUUAAAGGGAAAGGCACCAGUUCAAUCUGGGAAAGAGACUAAAGCCGAAAGCCUACUGCGGCGUUGUUUGCUUAAUGGGCGCCAGAUGGCGCCAAAGUGAAAAGGCAGGCGCCCUGGAGGAGGCAAGCAAAACCGUACUAGAGAAGGACCCAGCGCCUGCACUGUCUCUUGGUUGGGGGCACUGCUCAAGGCUCCAGAACAGCCAGCCUUCCCACAAUUUGAAUGAGGCUGACGAGAACGAGUGCAGACUGUAGAUACAGACGGACCGGCCAUUGUAUCCCAUUUCAGCGUCCUGCCCCAGCGGAUUCCAAUGAUUGGAAGCAAUUAACCCACCCUUGCCCUACAGGGAGAGGAAGGCAUUCCUCCUCUUUACCUGCGGCGUAGAACACCGGGCACUGGAAUUUGUGGCAGGUGGCUAGGGUCUGCCUCCUCUCUCCUUACCAGCUCCAUGGGUCACUAUCACAGCCUUACAUAAUACACAAGAGGACACCAAACUCGCUUACAUUAGUGACUUUAUGAAGGCUUUUUAAAGACUUGUUUUUAUUUAUUCGUUUGUUUUUGUGUGUGUUUUGUCUGCAUGUAUGUCUGUGAAGGGUUAGCGGGGGUGUGGUGACUGUCACAAGGCCCCAGACCACAGCACGACUGACUCCAUGGUGGAAGUGCCAUUCAGGCUGUAAAACGCAGCACAUAGACAGCACCACCUGACAAAACUAAAACAAUGGCCUAACCCAUCAAGUCCAUAGUUCUGGGACAGUAAAUGUACUAACCUUGCUUUUCGGCUUCUGUAGUUCGGCUUCUGGCUAACCAAUCUUGUUAACUAAAGUAUGUCAACCCAGCACAAGGUUUUUGUGCUUAAACGCUCACCCCGAGAAAGGCUCAGUGCUACACACACAGGGAUCCCGAACGCCCAUGCCUGAGCAGUUCUCUCUGGUGAAUACCCUGGGACAGUGACACACACUUGCAAUCUCACAAUUGCAGGAAGAGUGGGGGUUCGAGGCCAGCCUGGGUUACAUAGUGAGAUUUUUGCCUGAAAAAAGAAAUUAAAAAACCCAGGGUGCUUCUACCUCUACACAGUAUUUAGUUGAGUGAUGCAGCCAAGACACUUGAUUUCACAAAUUGCAGCAUGCCUUUAGCAUUCUGGUUCUGGAAGGUAAUAAAGGUCUUCGUUAGUCAA